AGUGAACGCUGGCGGUAGGCCUAACACAUGCAAGUCGAACGGCAGCACAGUAAGAGCUUGCUCUUACGGGUGGCGAGUGGCGGACGGGUGAGGAAUACAUCGGAAUCUACUUUUUCGUGGGGGAUAACGUAGGGAAACUUACGCUAAUACAGCAUACGACCUACGGGUGAAAGCAGGGGAUCUUCGGACCUUGCGGGAUUGAAUGAGCCGAUGUCGGAUUAGCUAGUUGGCGGGGUAAAGGCCCACCAAGGCGACGAUCCGUAGCUGGUCUGAGAGGAUGAUCGGCCACACGGGAACUGAGACACGGUCCAGACUCCUACGGGAGGCAGCAGUGGGGAAUAUUGGGCAAUGGGCGCAAGCCUGACCCAGCCAUACCGCGUGGGUGAAGAAGGCCUUCGGUUUGUAAAGCCCUUUUGUUGGGAAAGAACAGCAGCAGGUUAAUACCCCGCUGUUCUGACGGUACCCAAUGAAUAAGCACCGGCUAACUUCGUG
Molecule: ribosomal RNA, 492 nt
Filed under: uncultured bacterium
Lineage: Bacteria
Description: partial 16S ribosomal RNA
Rfam family: Bacterial small subunit ribosomal RNA
Source: RNAcentral